UCAAAGGACCAGAGACUAAGCCCAGCCAUGU
This 31-nucleotide non-coding RNA is filed under the name Mus musculus (house mouse). The record is from RNAcentral. Lineage: Eukaryota; Metazoa; Chordata; Mammalia; Rodentia; Muridae.